RNAcentral lists this ribosomal RNA (484 nucleotides) under Hippocampus guttulatus (long-snouted seahorse). RNAcentral describes it as "partial 16S ribosomal RNA". It matches the Rfam family "Bacterial large subunit ribosomal RNA", at positions 1922 to 2558 of the family's 2925-position model. The record is from RNAcentral. Lineage: Eukaryota; Metazoa; Chordata; Actinopteri; Syngnathiformes; Syngnathidae.
GUUUAACGGCCGCGGUAUUUUGACCGUGCAAAGGUAGCGCAAUCACUUGUCUUUUAAAUAAAGACCUGUAUGAAUGGCAUAACGAGGGCUAAACUGUCUCCUUACUCCAGUUAAUGAAAUUGAUCUCCUCGUGCAGAAGCGGGGAUUAACCCAUAAGACGAGAAGACCCUGUGGAGCUUUAGAUGAUAGAUGAAUUUAUUAAAAAAUUAAUACCACAUAAAAGGUAAUUAAAACGAUGACCUCAUCUUAAAUCUUUAGUUGGGGCGACCGCGGAGUAAAACAAAACCUCCGUGAGGAUUGAGAUGAAAACCUUAUACCCAAGAAUGUCAUUUCUAAGUACCAAAAUAUUUGACCAAUUGAUCCGGCAACAGCCGAUUAACGAACCUAGUUACCCCAGGGAUAACAGCGCAAUCCUCUUUGAGAGUCCCUAUCGACAAGAGGGUUUACGACCUCGAUGUUGGAUCAGGACAUCCUAAUGGUGUAG